UAUGGUGUGAGAAAAGGAUAUUGGCUCAACGCUCUCAAGAAUACAGUGAAAUGGCAUAUAAUCAAGUGGUUGAAAUUCUAAAAUCCAAAGUUCAGUAGCUCCUGAAGGCUAAAACAGUGAGAAGGCACAUACGAGCAAUGGCAGAACAAUUCACUGUAUGGUUUUAGUAAUAGCUCCUAACUUUAAGCAAUCAAAAAUUUCAUUCUUAACAAAAUUCAGUAUGUUUUUAUAUACGGUUAGAAAUAUAUUUAAAAUGCAAAAUUUAGUUUAUCUGAUCCGAAUAGAUCCAGCUUCAUGUAUCUAGAGAUUAUGCACUAGCUAGCUUAAUUUCGCUAACAGAUCCAUCCCAUAUAGAAUACAUCAUUUCAAACUCAACAAAGGCAUAAUUUUGGCAGGAACAAACUUAUUAUAACAAUUUAGAACACAACUCUCGUGAAAAUAAAAGAAAACUCAGCAGGGCAGGCAGGUGAAUGCGGGCGAAAAUGCUAUGCUGACAGGGCAGGUUGAAAUUUUGCAGGUUAUCGCCAUCCAUACAUAUUCCAGACCUUAAGUAUUUAAGCAUCUCUUUUUCGAAUUGUGUGUUAAUCAAGCACCGCCAUAUAAAUUAAAACAAGCAAGCAUCUAUUUUCCAUAUAUCAAAUUAUAGCUUCGGGUUUUAGACCUCUGCAUGCAUAAGCAUAAACGAUCUUUCAUCUGGACAGACAUGUGAGGAAGUAAACAUCCACUGGAAAGUGGAAAGGGACCACUUCUUUAAAGAUUCCUGGCUCAAAUAUCUUCAUAUCUCACUACACAUGAUCAUAAUCAAUCGUGAAUCCAUAACUAAUUCGCAAUGCAUUAAACUACUUGUAUUAGUUAUACAUACCGGCGCAUAAUGUCUAUCUCAAGCAUCAAGUGGGCAUCAAAUUCAAUCCCUUUAUCAUCUUCGAUAUAUGCUCGGAAUCAACUGAUUUCACGUUACAUCAAACACCACUUCAAAAAUUCAAA
Molecule: long non-coding RNA, 984 nt
Organism: Lycium barbarum (goji berry)
Lineage: Eukaryota; Viridiplantae; Streptophyta; Magnoliopsida; Solanales; Solanaceae
Exons: 2
Source: RefSeq, a predicted model, not a curated record